AUAAGCGUACACGGUGGAUGCCCUGGCAGUCAGAGGCGAUGAAGGACGUGCUAAUCUGCGAUAAGCGUCGGUAAGGUGAUAUGAACCGUUAUAACCGGCGAUUUCCGAAUGGGGAAACCCAGUGUGAUUCGUCACACUAUCAUUAACUGAAUCCAUAGGUUAAUGAGGCGAACCGGGGGAACUGAAACAUCUAAGUACCCCGAGGAAAAGAAAUCAACCGAGAUUCCCCCAGUAGCGGCGAGCGAACGGGGAGGAGCCCAGAGCCUGAAUCAGUGUGUGUGUUAGUGGAAGCGUCUGGAAAGGCGCGCGAUACAGGGUGACAGCCCCGUACACAAAAAUGCACAUGCUGUGAGCUCGAUGAGUAGGGCGGGACACGUGGUAUCCUGUCUGAAUAUGGGGGGACCAUCCUCCAAGGCUAAAUACUCCUGACUGACCGAUAGUGAACCAGUACCGUGAGGGAAAGGCGAAAAGAACCCCGGCGAGGGGAGUGAAAAAGAACCUGAAACCGUGUACGUACAAGCAGUGGGAGCACAGAGCAAUCUGUGUGACUGCGUACCUUUUGUAUAAUGGGUCAGCGACUUAUAUUCUGUAGCAAGGUUAACCGAAUAGGGGAGCCGAAGGGAAACCGAGUCUUAACUGGGCGUUAAGUUGCAGGGUAUAGACCCGAAACCCGGUGAUCUAGCCAUGGGCAGGUUGAAGGUUGGGUAACACUAACUGGAGGACCGAACCGACUAAUGUUGAAAAAUUAGCGGAUGACUUGUGGCUGGGGGUGAAAGGCCAAUCAAACCGGGAGAUAGCUGGUUCUCCCCGAAAGCUAUUUAGGUAGCGCCUCGUGAAUUCAUCUCCGGGGGUAGAGCACUGUUUCGGCAAGGGGGUCAUCCCGACUUACCAACCCGAUGCAAACUGCGAAUACCGGAGAAUGUUAUCACGGGAGACACACGGCGGGUGCUAACGUCCGUCGUGAAGAGGGAAACAACCCAGACCGCCAGCUAAGGUCCCAAAGUCAUGGUUAAGUGGGAAACGAUGUGGGAAGGCCCAGACAGCCAGGAUGUUGGCUUAGAAGCAGCCAUCAUUUAAAGAAAGCGUAAUAGCUCACUGGUCGAGUCGGCCUGCGCGGAAGAUGUAACGGGGCUAAACCAUGCACCGAAGCUGCGGCAGCGACGCUGAUGCGUUGUUGGGUAGGGGAGCGUUCUGUAAGCCUGUGAAGGUGUGCUGUGAGGCAUGCUGGAGGUAUCAGAAGUGCGAAUGCUGACAUAAGUAACGAUAAAGCGGGUGAAAAGCCCGCUCGCCGGAAGACCAAGGGUUCCUGUCCAACGUUAAUCGGGGCAGGGUGAGUCGACCCCUAAGGCGAGGCCGAAAGGCGUAGUCGAUGGGAAACAGGUUAAUAUUCCUGUACUUGGUGUUACUGCGAAGGGGGGACGGAGAAGGCUAUGUUGGCCGGGCGACGGUUGUCCCGGUUUAAGCGUGUAGGCUGGUUUUCCAGGCAAAUCCGGAAAACUAAGGCUGAGGCGUGAUGACGAGGCACUACGGUGCUGAAGCAACAAAUGCCCUGCUUCCAGGAAAAGCCUCUAAGCAUCAGGUAACAUCAAAUCGUACCCCAAACCGACACAGGUGGUCAGGUAGAGAAUACCAAGGCGCUUGAGAGAACUCGGGUGAAGGAACUAGGCAAAAUGGUGCCGUAACUUCGGGAGAAGGCACGCUGAUAUGUAGGUGAAGUCCCUCGCGGAUGGAGCUGAAAUCAGUCGAAGAUACCAGCUGGCUGCAACUGUUUAUUAAAAACACAGCACUGUGCAAACACGAAAGUGGACGUAUACGGUGUGACGCCUGCCCGGUGCCGGAAGGUUAAUUGAUGGGGUCAGCGCAAGCGAAGCUCUUGAUCGAAGCCCCGGUAAACGGCGGCCGUAACUAUAACGGUCCUAAGGUAGCGAAAUUCCUUGUCGGGUAAGUUCCGACCUGCACGAAUGGCGUAAUGAUGGCCAGGCUGUCUCCACCCGAGACUCAGUGAAAUUGAACUCGCUGUGAAGAUGCAGUGUACCCGCGGCAAGACGGAAAGACCCCGUGAACCUUUACUAUAGCUUGACACUGAACAUUGAGCCUUGAUGUGUAGGAUAGGUGGGAGGCUUUGAAGUGUGGACGCCAGUCUGCAUGGAGCCGACCUUGAAAUACCACCCUUUAAUGUUUGAUGUUCUAACGUUGACCCGUAAUCCGGGUUGCGGACAGUGUCUGGUGGGUAGUUUGACUGGGGCGGUCUCCUCCUAAAGAGUAACGGAGGAGCACGAAGGUUGGCUAAUCCUGGUCGGACAUCAGGAGGUUAGUGCAAUGGCAUAAGCCAGCUUGACUGCGAGCGUGACGGCGCGAGCAGGUGCGAAAGCAGGUCAUAGUGAUCCGGUGGUUCUGAAUGGAAGGGCCAUCGCUCAACGGAUAAAAGGUACUCCGGGGAUAACAGGCUGAUACCGCCCAAGAGUUCAUAUCGACGGCGGUGUUUGGCACCUCGAUGUCGGCUCAUCACAUCCUGGGGCUGAAGUAGGUCCCAAGGGUAUGGCUGUUCGCCAUUUAAAGUGGUACGCGAGCUGGGUUUAGAACGUCGUGAGACAGUUCGGUCCCUAUCUGCCGUGGGCGCUGGAGAACUGAGGGGGGCUGCUCCUAGUACGAGAGGACCGGAGUGGACGCAUCACUGGUGUUCGGGUUGUCAUGCCAAUGGCACUGCCCGGUAGCUAAAUGCGGAAGAGAUAAGUGCUGAAAGCAUCUAAGCACGAAACUUGCCCCGAGAUGAGUUCUCCCUGACUCCUUGAGAGUCCUGAAGGAACGUUGAAGACGACGACGUUGAUAGGCCGGGUGUGUAAGCGCAGCGAUGCGUUGAGCUAACCGGUACUAAUGAACCGUGAGGCUUAACC
RNAcentral lists this ribosomal RNA (2894 nucleotides) under Escherichia coli. RNAcentral's name for it is "bacterial LSU rRNA". It matches the Rfam family "Bacterial large subunit ribosomal RNA". Lineage: Bacteria; Pseudomonadati; Pseudomonadota; Gammaproteobacteria; Enterobacterales; Enterobacteriaceae. The record is from RNAcentral.